AAAACACCACCAAUUCUUCAGGAGUGACACAAGUUCUAGGACAUUUGGGUGUGCUAAAUGCUAGAUCCUUUCACAAGUUUUAUUAAUUUCUCUUGAAUACUGUACAGCUAGAAAUUUAGAAAUGUGUAAAGCAUACAAUACCUAGAUACAGGGUAAAGUAUUACCUAUGCUCACUGAUCUUCUGUGAACAGAUUAUUAUUUGGCAAAGCUGUCAAUGAAGACACAACACUAGGAAGAAACAUUGGGAUGCACACUGGAAUCCAAGCAAGCAGAAUCUGAUUUGCUGGUGCUGUUUAUUUAUGGCUCUGCACUUUUUAAUGAAGCAGACAUUUGGACUGAAUGAAAUCAAAAUGACUUCAUGGACAAAAUACCAAGUGGAAUCACAGUGAAGGUGAAAAUGGCCUGUGCCUCCACCAGGUUUCAUGUAUUACUUUUAUGGCCCUAAUAUGUAGUUAUAUCUUGUGUGCUUUUAAACUCAUAUAAUCUGAAACCUGUUGUGCAGUUUGUUGCAGCCCAUGUGCCUCCACGCUGUGGAAAGCAGCACAAAGGCACAUAGGAGUGUUUGGAGGACACAAAAGCCAGCUGCAGCAGAAGUGGAGGACUAUGGAAAAUGGAGAGGGCCCUUCCUGAUGUCUUUUCACUGACACUGCCAAGGCCUGUGCCCAAGCCUCAUCCAGGCAGCUCCAGUGAGCAUAGCCUAAAAACCCAUGGGCUCAAAUAGGGUCCAAGACCACCCACGCAGAGUCUGCACUCUUUCCCUUGUCCUGUUUUGUUUACAUGCACAGACACAGUCUAAGAGAAUGACUUUUUAAUUUUUUAAGGUACCGUCAUAUUUCAUUUGUAGUCAUGAUGACCAUUUAUAUUUCUGUGCUAAAUUGACAAUGAAAUUACCCUCUAGAGAUUUCUUUCAGACAAAUAAAAAUGUGUAAAUGUGUCAAGGUCCAUUUUGCCCAUGAUGCUACCUAUCUUCAAAAGGACUUGUUGAAUAGUCUUUAAGAUACCUACAUUUAACCACGCAGGGUGGAAUCCCAGUCUUUCUCCCUCUUGCCUAAAGACUUUCAAAGAAGUUCAGCAUUUUCCGAGUUAGAUACUCCAUGGCCUUCAGGGUUGUGUAUGGAUUAGCAGUGUAGCUUUGCAGUAGGUCUGCAGAACAAAACAGCUGAUGUAGAAGGCCUCACAUCCACACUGCAAAUAUUUCAAUGAGAAGUUAAUUUAGACCAGUCCUUGUGUAGCUCAAGGAUUCAGCACGUGUCUGUAGUAAUUGUACUUUCAGUCUGAUUUUAGAGAACAUAAUCCAGUUUAGUUCCAUCCUAAAGGAGCCCAGUUUAUAUUUUCCAAAAUGAUUACGGGAUGUCAAUAAUCCUUUUUUUUAAACCCAUUAAAAAAUCACACUUCAGGGUACAGAUGAACAAUUUCAAUGAAAUUAUUUCAUUUUGCAGGGGAGUAAAACUAGCAAAAAAUGCCAGCAGACUGAUUUUUUUUAUGGGUUAAGUUUUCUUUUUUUUUUAGGAACUUCAUUACUUUGCUAACAGUUAAUUUUAAUUUAGAUCUCUGUGAUGGAAUUGAAUAGAAAAAGGUAGGUAGGUCUUACUACUGAUUGACAAACAAGGUAGUACUUUCCCCCAUGCAACACUUAAUCUCUUCUCUGUACAUCACCUUUGCUCAGUAAAAGGAUGUCACUCAUGCUGUCUGGAGCCAAAUUUCCAUAUCCAAAAUAAAACAACAGACUGUAACCGUUCUGCCUGUAAAGUAACUCCAGUCUGAGAAGCAGCCCAGUGGAAAGGAGGUCCAACAACUCGAAUAUCUUCAGGGGUCCAAGACCUUCCAGAUGUACCAUCUGAUUGCUUUAAUGGCAAAGUAAUUUAGUUAAUUUUAAAAAUGCAGAAAUGCAAGCAAAAUUCACCUUUACUUGCAAGUUCAAACCUCAUUUAAACACAAGCUUGGGACUUCUUUCAACUUUUGAAAGGUACUUUUCUUUUGUAAAUGAGCAUCUGAGCUGUUUUCAAAUAACCUAAAUAACACAGCUCCUAGGCUUUGUAUAAAAAUACAAACAAAUAAGAAAUAACUACCCUGAAAAUUGUACUCUCACUCAGUGAUAACUUUCUACCCACAUGCUCUUGUCUCUCACACUCUGGAACAGCACCUUACACUAUUAAACAUUUUCUGCAAUCUCCACUGCUGGGAAAUAGUUGGAUGCUUCAGUUCUCUCAGCUCUUCAGUUGCUUUUAUUCUUUCAGCUACACGCUAUUAUAAUGAAUUAUCUGAUUUGAAAGACCAGAAAAUGUCUCCUUUUGUAAUAAAGCUGUUCAAGCUAUUUAAAAUGUGUUUUCCAGAUUAUCAAGCAUUUUGUCACAUUAGAAUCUCACUUUAACACAGAUAAGCCAUGGCUUCAUCAAGUUUUAUCUUGCCCAAACUGAGCCAAGGGCAGGCUGACUCACCGGCUGGUAAUAGCAAGCAUAGCUUUCCAUCUCAAUGUCACCAGCUGGAAUUCAGCAAAGGUCAUCACUGAUAACCAACUGAGCUUUUGAUGGCCCUAUGAAAUUAGCUGAUGAUCUAGGUAUAGUGACUAGAGGACAGGUGUUCUUAUUAUAAAAACCAUUUACCAGUUGAUAACCUCUCUUACUAGACUCAACUGAGAAAUGAUGAGCUAAAUGAGGCACAGGUGCUCAACCACUUCACAUAAACAACUGGCAUCUGAAAAAGAAGUUUAAGGACAUAUUGUCAGGGGUUAAGUGUGUCCCACCUACUGUGAAACUGAAAUACUAUUUCCCUGGGGCUUACAGAACUUGUGCAUUUAGUGGAGACUUUAAGUUCAUUCAUCAAACACAUGAUAUAAACCAUUCUGUUAUGCACCUUCAAAUCAAAAGAUGAAAAAGAAAGAAGAAAGAAAGGUGCUCACAAAGGAAAUGUUCAGAGAGGUAAACUUCAGGUGCUGUUGGGGUUGUAUUGUGCAGUCUCUGUAAUCACUCUUCACACAUCUAAAAAGCAGGAGAGGUACAACUUACUGCAGGGAAUUACUGAUCUGCUGGAAGAAACUGCAGCUUCAGGUACCCUCAAUUAAUGGCCAAAAGAAACUCAUUUUGUGUGUGACAACACAAAUUGGGCACUUCCUUACUCACUCAUCUACACCACUGCCAAGACUAAAUAAUCUUGAAAUUGAGUCAGGGCUAAAGUGGAAAAGGCAUUUGGGCUCCUAAAAAUGAGAAACGGGCAUUCAAGGAUGAAUAAGAGCUUUCGUCAGAGGAAGAGCGUGGAGCGCAGAGCAGCUUCGAUUGGCCAUGCAUUCUUCAGGGAGUCAUGGAAAAGAGCAGCUGGCUCAGAAGAUUUCCCUGGUGAAUGGCAAGCUCUACCCAUAGGUCCAGAGGGAGGAAUUGAAAGAUUGAAGAAUUGAGCCUGGGGUAAGCCUGCACAUAUGCAAAGGCUGAGUGGCUUCUUUUUAAAUGAUUAUAAGUGUAGCAAAUGUGUAAGAGCUGCUCAAUCCCAUUAUUUAAUAUCCAGUGUAUCAGUUCUGUAGGCUGUGUGGGGAGCUCAUGAUGCUCCUCUUACUCACUUUGACUUUGACUGAUGAGACUGUUUCACCUCAGGUUUUGUACAGAAGAAAAGUUGCCUGUAUCCAAGUUUAAUUCUCAGAAUUUUGUGUGUUCAAGUCCCAUAAAACCAGAUUAUUCUGAGGAGACAUGACAGUAGCCUGGUACAAUUUUAAGAAAUUUCCAAGACACCGUCUGUGUUUAUCUUUGUUUAGCUGUAGAGCCAGAUGAAAGGAACAGAUACCUUGUAUUUUAGAAGACUGAAGUGAAUUAAUAGACUGCUGUAUCUCACAAAAAAGGAAGGAAGGAGAAAAUGAAUGAAUGGACUUUGACUUUUCUUAAGUAUACAGGGCAGCUGAGCUCUGACUGAUGUUUACAAAAGUAGAUGUGUUUGAAGCAGCACGACAUGGGGAACCAUGAACAGUUUAAGGGUUAAGCAGGAAGAGCCUUCAGGUCCUACAAAAUUGGGGAAAAUAUAAUCUAUAAAAUGCAUUUAUCAUAUUUUUCUGAAAAGAAAUUCUCAUAAGCUAAACAAGAGAUAACUUCUGUACAACGUGCAUAAGAAAAUUAAGAAUUAAAUCAUAAGAAAUAUGAAAAGAAGUAGCAGUUUUGAUGCACGACAGUGAACAGUUUCACUGCAUUCAAACAUUAAUUAUAGUAAACUAUUUGGUAAUGAGAGGAACUUUUGUUGUUCUCAUGCUGUUCUUGCUUACAGAUGAAGGAGCAGGUUUCAGGUCACUAGAAUUCCUGCAGUGCUAGCCCUUGUUUCUGAGUUGAAACAAUGAAAUCCUUAAGCAGAUGCCUGACUUCAGAAUCCUGAGUACUGCUGUUAAACACUGAAGCAGUAUCCUCAAUGUGUAUUAAUAAAUCCAUGAAUGAAAGAAUUGUUUACAAGCACUUUUCAAUCAAAAUAAAUCAAGUUUCCAACUGACAGAAAUUUGUUGAAAAAUAAGGACUUUUCACUUCUUCCUUCUUCUAAUAUAAUGUGCUCUAUAAGAUGAAUAACAUAAAAAAGGGGGAAAAUACCAUUCCUUUUCUUCAGGUGGUGCACUGUGAUACCCUUUCGCAGUUCUUUGCUGUAUGCACUUUGAAAAGUUAAAAAUACCUUCAAUGUACACAAAGAGUAGCCAAAGAAGAUGCUAUUAUUUGCAGAACAGCAGCACCAACAUACUACAUUUUCAGCUAAUUAUAAUAAUGUGCAUAUCUUCUGUGAGAAAUAGGAAGGGAUAUCACAGUUUAAAUUAUUCUGUGUUGGCUUUCAGAGGACAAACACUUGUUGUUGACAACUAUUUGAUCUGUCUCAUAAUACUGUUAUGAUGACAAAAUAAAACUAUACUUUUUUCUCAAUUUCUGUGAUCUUUCACCUAGAUAAGAACCAACACCUGGCAUCUUUUCAAAUUUUCUUUUUUUCUUUACAUCAGUAGCAAAAGUUAAAAAGGUAACAUGAAAAGAAAGAUGAAAAAGGAAUGCUGUUCAAAUUGAAGGACUGCAGUUUCAAGUUUCAAUCCUGUAUCAAAACAUCUCCGCCUCAUCUUCUUUCUCAGUCAUCACAAAUGAAAUAGUACAAAGAAGUACACAAACAUCAGUACAAUGCUGUGUGUGUACUGCUAUCCAAAAAUCACAGUUACAAAAUUAUACCUGACAUAUCAAAAACUGACAGUCACAUCCUCAAGAUUUUCUUCUGUUCAUUCCCAUGGACCUUCUUUAUUAAUAAAUCUGACACAUAAAAAGCAUCUGUAUGACUAAAGUGUCAGUUACUGGAAAGACCGUUUUGAUCUACUUCUUAACUUUUAGAAGAAAUAUUCUCUUUUUUAUGAAGACAGAAUCUGUUCACUGACUGCCAGCUUUCAAAUGACCACCUCUUGAAGUUUAAUUUUAAGUUUUAAAUAAAUAUUGUAUGCAUGCAGAAUAAUUAUGAUGCUCUAGAGAGACUGUGUAUAAUGACAUUGAUUCUUUUUUAUCUAAAAAUGCCAAACCCUUGAGGCGGAAAAGUCUGUAUUUGCCACAGAUAUAUAGAGGUUCAUUCUACAUGUUAAAUUAUAAUAGCUUCUUCAUGUUUCUGUCACUAAGUCAGUAGUGAAACUUCCAUUGUAAACUUCAAUUUCCAAUUGCUUAAAAUGUACUGGUAAAAAUUGUCUUUGGCCAAACAUUUGAUAUAGAGAAUUUUAGCAGUGGAAUAACUUCUACUACAUUAAAAGAAAAUUUUAAAAUUCUGAUACAAUGCUGUGUAACUACUGGAAAGAAAUCACAUUGAGUUUAGAUGAAUGUUAACAGUCAUUACUGAA
Long non-coding RNA from Passer domesticus (house sparrow), 5812 nucleotides. RefSeq lists it as uncharacterized. The transcript has 6 exons. Lineage: Eukaryota; Metazoa; Chordata; Aves; Passeriformes; Passeridae. The record is from RefSeq and is a predicted model, not a curated record.